UGAACCAGCAGCAGCAACUGCUGCCCUCUAACCUAAACACACACACACAAAGUAUCUGAAGGAAAAGAAAGGGAAGGUAGAAUCGGGAAAAAGAAGAAGGAGGGGAGGGGGCUUCUACCGCUGUUCAGCUCGCUGCCACCAUGUCACACCUUGCCGCCGUGCCUCACGCCUCGCCGCCGUCAUCCUCGCGGGCAUGGAGGAAGCCUUUCUACUACCACUACUGCCCGUGAAGGCGACGCCGUCGCGUCAGAGCUCUGGCGAGAGGGAGAAGGUCGCGAAGGAGGAGGGAACCGCGCCGUUUUGCUCUGCCGUCGCCACUAAAACUGCACCCAUUCCCUAGUUGUCGCCGCGCCAAACACAGGGGUGGCCGCCGUGGCUGCAGAGGAGUCGCGUGGCCACCGUCGCAUCCUCGCGCACACAGAGAGAGGGAUGCGCGAAAGGGGACCCUUUUCCGCCGCUGUCAUGCCGUGAGCGCCGAUUCGGUGUUUGCCGCCGUCGAGCUUCCAUAGCUGUCGCGUUUCACCGCGAUUGAGGGCGUCUCCACCACCGCACCUUGGCCGACGGCACUGCCAUCUGCUGCUCCGCGGUGCCUAGCUGGAGCUUUUGUUGCUGUUGCCGAAAAUCGGUGGUUGCCAAAAAAUACCACUGUUGUUGCUGCCGAAAGAGGGAGAUGCUGUGCCGCUGUUCUGGUCGCCAGGAGCAGUCUUGCGGCCACCAGAAACACCACCGGGGAUGCCGCCGCUUGGCUCAGUAACUUCUCCUUAGUUGCGGGCUGAGUUCGAAUUAUGGCAUGUAACAGUUAGGCUUGUUGUUGCUGUUGCGAGUAGUUAAAGCUGAGGCUGCCUCUGUCGCCGAAAAGUUUGCCGUCAUCGUGAUUGGAAUUCGUCGCCGCUGCCGCUUGAGGUGGCUGUCGGGCUGCCGCCGAGCCGGUUUGGAGACCACCGCGGUGUCGGUUCAGCCGUUCCUCCUUCGGUUUGAUAAGCGUUUUCGAUUUGAAAGCCCUUUAGUUACUGUUCUGUUAUCAUACGCGGAGGUUUAUGGCGUUAAUUCCUAUACGAUUGAGUUUCGGUUAUUAUAUGUUGCGAAUAGUGUAGCUAUGGUUAUUGCGAAAGUGGCUGGGAGCUGAGGUUUUGGUUGCCGGUGAUUUCGAGUUCAGGCGGAAAGGACUCUGUGAGACGUUGGAUUAUGGAAUUUGCGUUUUGAGGAUAUGGGUGCUGAAGUCACGAAGAGUUUAUUUAAUUGUUGUUGUAAUGCUCUGUAUUAUUUUAGUUAUGUUUUAUUGUACCCUUGCCUUUAUCUUGAUAUAUUCUGUAAGAGGGAUAGGAAUUGUAUUGGUUACUGCUUGUAAUAUUAUUUAUAAAUAUAUGUAUCUAUAUGGAUGUAUCCUUUAUGAGUUUUUGUAAGUUAUAUGGUAUGCAUGGAUGUACGUUGUAUAGCAAAAGUAUUUUUAGGAGCGGUUUUGCGGUUUAAAGAUUUAAACAGGCUCAUAUUUUAGUAUUAAAUAGUAUAAGUGUCGUCGUAAUGUUCGAGCUAUCAGAGUUGCGCAGUCGGAAGCGUGAGCUUUGGUAGUUAGGGUGUUACAUUAUGGUAUCAGAGCAGUCCUUCCUGUAGAGCCUGAGGAAUGGACCAACUAUGCUUCAAUUGCAUACUCUGAGUGCUUGUCAUGUAUUAGGUUUUUUCGAAUGACGAGAAUUAGAGCUUUAUGCACAUGACGGUCUAUUGAUUAAUGCUGUUAGGCUUGCAUUGCAUAAUUCUUGGUAUUAAGUUUGGCCGGCUUAAUAGUAGUGAAUUUUGUAUAUGAAAGUACUAAUGGGUUAUCAUAGAUGAUAUACGAGUUUUGAGUAAAGUGAAUCGCGAGUUUUGAGAAUGCUAGAAGCUAUUUCUCGAGGCUAUUCAGUUGUGUGUCUUGAAUUUCGUUCGAGUCUACCUGUUCUUUCAUGUCCUAACUUGAAGUUCUUGUUUGCUGAUCCUUUUGAGGAGUAGUUUGAUUUUUCAACUUUAUUCCUCUAUCCACAGGCAUUCUUGUUUGAUCGUAAGUGCAUAUGCUUGUUUGAGAUCCUUGUUGCAUCUACCCUCCUCUGUUUGAGUUCUUUUUUAUUACUGUAUUCAUUGAUAUAGCCUUGAACUUGUCUU
This is a long non-coding RNA of Arachis stenosperma, 2133 nucleotides long. RefSeq lists it as uncharacterized. The record is from RefSeq and is a predicted model, not a curated record. NCBI's taxonomy places the organism in Eukaryota, Viridiplantae, Streptophyta, Magnoliopsida, Fabales, Fabaceae. The transcript has 3 exons.